Molecule: ribosomal RNA, 872 nt
Filed under: uncultured bacterium
Lineage: Bacteria
Description: bacterial SSU rRNA
Rfam family: Bacterial small subunit ribosomal RNA
Source: RNAcentral
AGAGUUUGAUCUCUAGGCUCAGAUUGAACGCUGGCGGCAGGCCUAACACAUGCAAGUCGAACGGUAGCACAGAGAGCUUGCUCUCGGGUGACGAGUGGCGGACGGGUGAGUAAUGUCUGGGAAACUGCCUGAUGGAGGGGGAUAACUACUGGAAACGGUAGCUAAUACCGCAUAACGUCGCAAGACCAAAGAGGGGGACCUUCGGGCCUCUUGCCAUCGGAUGUGCCCAGAUGGGAUUAGCUUGUUGGUGAGGUAACGGCUCACCAAGGCGACGAUCCCUAGCUGGUCUGAGAGGAUGACCAGCCACACUGGAACUGAGACACGGUCCAGACUCCUACGGGAGGCAGCAGUGGGGAAUAUUGCACAAUGGGCGCGAGCCUGAUGCAGCCAUGCCGCGUGUAUGAAGAAGGCCUUCGGGUUGUAAAGUACUUUCAGCGAGGAGGAAGGCGGUAAGGUUAAUAACCUUACCGAUUGACGUUACUCGCAGAAGAAGCACCGGCUAACUCCGUGCCAGCAGCCGCGGUAAUACGGAGGGUGCAAGCGUUAAUCGGAAUUACUGGGCGUAAAGCGCACGCAGGCGGUCUGUCAAGUCGGAUGUGAAAUCCCCGGGCUCAACCUGGGAACUGCAUUCGAAACUGGCAGGCUAGAGUCUUGUAGAGGGGGGGUAGAAUUCCAGGUGUAGCGGUGAAAUGCGUAGAGAUCUGGAGGAAUACCGGUGGCGAAGGCGGCCCCCUGGACAAAGACUGACGCUCAGUGCGAAAGCGUGGGGAGCAACAGAUUAGAUACCCUGGUAGUCCACGCCGUAACGAUGUCGACUUGCAGGUGUGCCCUUGAGCGUGCCUGCGGAGCUACGCGUCAGUCCGACCGCUGGG